AACGAACGCUGGCGGCAUGCCUAACACAUGCAAGUCGAACGAGACCUUCGGGUCUAGUGGCGCACGGGUGCGUAACGCGUGGGAACCUGCCCUUAGGUUCGGAAUAACUCCCCGAAAGGGGUGCUAAUACCGGAUAAUGUCUUCGGACCAAAGAUUUAUCGCCUUUGGAUGGGCCCGCGUUGGAUUAGCUAGUUGGUAGGGUAAAAGCCUACCAAGGCGACGAUCCAUAGCUGGUCUGAGAGGAUGAUCAGCCACACUGGGACUGAGACACGGCCCAGACUCCUACGGGAGGAAGCAGUGGGGAGUAGUGGACAAUGGGCGAAAGGCUGAUCCAGCAAUGCCGCGUGAGUGACGAAGGCCUUAGGGUGGUAAAGCUCUUUGACCCGGGAUGAUAAGGACAGGACCGGGAGAAUAAGCUCCGGCUAGCUCCGUG
This 433-nucleotide ribosomal RNA is filed under the name uncultured bacterium. RNAcentral's name for it is "partial 16S ribosomal RNA". It matches the Rfam family "Bacterial small subunit ribosomal RNA", at positions 29 to 507 of the family's 1533-position model. The record is from RNAcentral.